Molecule: non-coding RNA, 127 nt
Filed under: Chloropicon primus
Lineage: Eukaryota; Viridiplantae; Chlorophyta; Chloropicophyceae; Chloropicales; Chloropicaceae
Source: RNAcentral
CGGUAUCCCUGACGAGACUUGCCAGAACUACGAGGCUGUUGAUGGAGAGUGUCACCCUUACGGAAUCUGCGAGACCUGCGACCCAGGUGCUCCACCAAAGCCAUUCUUGCCAGGAACUUGCACCCCA